GUGCUUGCUUCAGCAGCACAUAUACUAAAAUUGGAAUGAUACAGAGAUUAGCAUGGCCCCUGCACAAAGAUGACACGCAAAUUUGUAAAGCAUUCCAUAUUUUU
This is a small nuclear RNA of Sorex araneus (European shrew), 104 nucleotides long. Lineage: Eukaryota; Metazoa; Chordata; Mammalia; Eulipotyphla; Soricidae. The record is from RefSeq and is a predicted model, not a curated record.